This 387-nucleotide ribosomal RNA is filed under the name uncultured Prorocentrum. Its description in RNAcentral is "partial small subunit ribosomal RNA". It matches the Rfam family "Eukaryotic small subunit ribosomal RNA", at positions 30 to 432 of the family's 1831-position model. Lineage: Eukaryota; Dinophyceae; Prorocentrales; Prorocentraceae. The record is from RNAcentral.
GCUUGUCUCAAAGAUUAAGCCAUGCAUGUCUAAGUAUAAACUGCUUAUACUGUGAAACUGCGAAUGGCUCAUUAAAUCAGUCAUAAUUUAUUUGAUGGUACCUACUACUCGGAUAACCGUAGUAAUUCUAGAGCUAAUACAUGCGUCAGAACCCAACUUUACGGAAGGGUCGUGUUUAUUAGAUACAAAACCAACAUCUCGUUGGUGAUUCAUAAUAACCAAGCGAAUCGUCGGUUUACCGACGAUAGAUCGUUCAAGUUUCUGACCUAUCAGCUUUGGUCGGUAGGGUAUUGGCCUACCGAGGCAAUGACGGGUAACGGAGAAUUAGGGUUCGAUUCCGGAGAGGGAGCCUGAGAAACGGCUACCACAUCUAAGGAAGGCAGCAGG